Molecule: ribosomal RNA, 468 nt
Filed under: uncultured bacterium
Lineage: Bacteria
Description: partial 16S ribosomal RNA
Rfam family: Bacterial small subunit ribosomal RNA
Source: RNAcentral
GACGAACGCUGGCGGCGUGCUUAACACAUGCAAGUCGAACGGAAAGGCCCUGCUCUUGUGGGGUGCUCGAGUGGCGAACGGGUGAGUAACACGUGAGUAACCUGCCCUUGACUUUGGGAUAACUUCAGGAAACUGGGGCUAAUACCGGAUAGGAGCUCCUGCUGCAUGGUGGGGGUUGGAAAGUUUCGGCGGUUGGGGGUGGACUCGCGGCUUAUCAGCUUGUUGGUGGGGUAGUGGCUUACCAAGGCUUUGACGGGUAGCCGGCCUGAGAGGGUGACCGGCCACAUUGGGACUGAGAUACGGCCCAGACUCCUACGGGAGGCAGCAGUGGGGAAUAUUGCACAAUGGGCGGAAGCCUGAUGCAGCAACGCCGCGUGCGGGAUGACGGCCUUCGGGUUGUAAACCGCUUUCGCCUGUGACGAAGCGUGAGUGACGGUAAUGGGUAAAGAAGCACCGGCUAACUACGUG